AACGAACGCUGGCGGCAUGCCUAACACAUGCAAGUCGAACGAGACCUUCGGGUCUAGUGGCGCACGGGUGCGUAACGCGUGGGAACCUGCCCUUAGGUUCGGAAUAACUCCCCGUAAGGGGUGCUAAUACCGGAUAAUGUCUUCGGACCAAAGAUUUAUCGCCUUUGGAUGGGCCCGCGUUGGAUUAGCUAGUUGGUAGGGUAAAAGCCUACCAAGGCGAGGAUCCAUAGCUGGUCUGAGAGGAUGAUCAGCCACACUGGGACUGAGCCCCGGCCCAGACUCGAGGGGGAGGCGGAGGGGGGAAUAUUGGACAAUGGGCGAAAGCCUGAUCCAGCAAUGCCGCGUGAGUGAUGAAGGCCUUAGGGUUGUAAAGCUCUUUUACCCGGGAUGAUAAUGACAGUACCGGGAGAAUAAGCUCCGGCUAACUCCGUG
Molecule: ribosomal RNA, 432 nt
Filed under: uncultured bacterium
Lineage: Bacteria
Description: partial 16S ribosomal RNA
Rfam family: Bacterial small subunit ribosomal RNA
Source: RNAcentral